This 70-nucleotide transfer RNA is filed under the name Rasbora sp. 1 HN-2021. Its description in RNAcentral is "tRNA-Tyr". It matches the Rfam family "tRNA". From Rfam's summary of the family: Transfer RNA (tRNA) molecules are approximately 80 nucleotides in length. Their secondary structure includes four short double-helical elements and three loops (D, anti-codon, and T loops). The record is from RNAcentral. Lineage: Eukaryota; Metazoa; Chordata; Actinopteri; Cypriniformes; Danionidae.
GGUAGAGUGGCCGAGUGACAGGCGGCGGCUUGUAGCACCGUGUACAGAGGUUUAAGUCCUUUUUCUAUCA